RNAcentral lists this long non-coding RNA (1139 nucleotides) under Homo sapiens (human). Its description in RNAcentral is "HSALNT0390972". The record is from RNAcentral. Lineage: Eukaryota; Metazoa; Chordata; Mammalia; Primates; Hominidae.
GACAACAUCCAGCCUCCGUCUCUCAAUAAAUAAAUGGGACAAUUUUGUCCACAAGGGGACAUUUGGCAAUAUUUGGAGGCAUCUGAGGGAAGGGGGCGUGCUGCUAUCUAACGGGUAGAGGCCAGGGGUUCUGCUAAACAUCCUAUAUGAUGCAUAAAACAGCUGCACACAAAGAAUUGUCCAGUCCAAAAUACCUUCAGUACUUACGCUGAGAAACCCUGUUCUACAGAUAUAGAGAUGAAGAAGAGACAGUAUCUGUCUUGAAAAAGCUUACUGUCUAGUGGGUGAAUGCAAGGUGGAAACAAAGCUAUGUCCAAGAUGCUCCAGGUGCAGAGAAGAAGAGGGGAUGCUUAAGUAAAAAUAUUGGAAGAUAGGAGCUUGCCAUGGGUACUCAGGAUGGAAAGAAAUGAUUUUAUGUAGAGGGAAGAGCACGGGAAAACAUUUAAAUAGGUGCAAAGCAUUUUGGAGUCUAAGAGGUGCUAGUAGUUGAGAAUUGUUAGAGCUCAGGCUGCCGGUCGCGGGGAAGGCAGGCGCGAAGGGGUGCAGGGAAGAAGGAGGAGGCGGCGGCAGUGGCGGUGGCCAUGGCAGAAGCGGAAACAGGAGCAGCAGCAGCAGCAGCAGCGGCAGGAGAGGCACACAGGAGCCAGAUCCUAAAGGCUUUGUAUGCCACAUUAGGAAAGAAUUUGGAAUACAGCUUCUGUUUGGAAAACAUUUUCUGUAACCAGCCCGACACAGAGACGGGGUUUUGCAUGUUGGCCAGGCUUGUCUCGAACUCCCGACCUCAAGUGAUCAGCCCGCCUUGGCCUCCCAAAGUGCUGGGAUUACAGGUGUGAGGCACCGCUCCUGGCCAAGACCAAUAUUUCUUGACGCUGACUUCAGGAGCUAGAACAGAACUGGUUGGAGCCCAGCUAAACUAAAAAGCACAGCCAAGGGCAGCAAAGCCUUCUAUGUUUACAGAGCCAAAAGGAUGCCGAAGGCCCUGGAAGUUGAAAAUCAAGACUGGCUGCUGUAAAGCAGACCAUCUCAGACGUAUUCUCAUUCCUGACAAAUACCCACCCACCAGCAGGACUGGGAGACACAUGGCAACCAGAGCAAGUUGUCAAAACUUAUCAUUAUAAAACGUCCAUCUUACAAAAGUA